This 492-nucleotide ribosomal RNA is filed under the name uncultured bacterium. RNAcentral's name for it is "partial 16S ribosomal RNA". It matches the Rfam family "Bacterial small subunit ribosomal RNA", at positions 29 to 507 of the family's 1533-position model. The record is from RNAcentral.
AGUGAACGCUGGCGGUAGGCCUAACACAUGCAAGUCGAACGGCAGCACAGUAAGAGCUUGCUCUUACGGGUGGCGAGUGGCGGACGGGUGAGGCAUACAUCGGAAUCUACUUUUUCGUGGGGGAUAACGUAGGGAAACUUACGCUAAUACCGCAUACUACCUACGGGUGAAAGCAGGGGAUCUUCGGACCUUGCGCGAUUGAAUGAGCCGAUGUCGGAUUAGCUAGUUGGCGGGGUAAAGGCCCACCAAGGCGACGAUCCGUAGCUGGUCUGAGAGGAUGAUCAGCCACACUGGAACUGAGACACGGUCCAGACUCCUACGGGAGGCAGCAGUGGGGAAUAUUGGACAAUGGGCGCAAGCCUGAUCCAGCAAUACCGCGUGGGUGAAGAAGGCCUUCGGGUUGUAAAGCCCUUUUGUUGGGAAAGAAAAGCAGCAGGUUAAUACCCCGCUGUUCUGACGGUACCCAAAGAAUAAGCACCGGCUAACUUCGUG